Molecule: ribosomal RNA, 775 nt
Filed under: uncultured Neocallimastigales
Lineage: Eukaryota; Fungi; Neocallimastigomycota; Neocallimastigomycetes; Neocallimastigales
Description: partial large subunit ribosomal RNA
Rfam family: Eukaryotic large subunit ribosomal RNA
Source: RNAcentral
GUAGUCUCGCACAGAUGCAUAUCAAUAAGCGGAGGAAAAGAAACUAACAAGGAUUCCCCUAGUAACGGCGAGUGAAGCGGGAAGAGCUCAAAUUUGAAAUCUUAAAGGGUUUCCCCUUACGAAUUGUAGUUUAAAGAAGUGUUUUCUGUUGAGGUUUUGGUAAAAGUUCUUUGGAAUAGGACAUCAUAGAGGGUGAGAAUCCCGUAUUUGACCUUUACUUUCAACUUUGUGAUACACUUUCAAAGAGUCGGAUUGUUUGGGAAUGCAGUCCAAAAUGGGUGGUAAAUUUCAUCUAAAGCCUAAAUAUUGGCGAGAGACCGAUAGCGAACAAGUACCGUGAGGGAAAGAUGAAAAGAACUUUGAAAAGAGAGUUAAACAGUACGUGAAAUUGUCAAAAGGGAAGCGUUUGACACCAGUGUUGUUUUUCUGAAAAUCAAUUAAAGAACUGUUUAUGCUAAGUUGUUUAGACUUUAUCAGCUAACUGUUUAGUUUUGAGCUUUUCUUUAAUGCACUUUUCAGUUAACAAGUCAACAUCAAUUUCUUUUGCUGUAAAAAAGCUUGAGGAAGGUGGCUUGAGAUUCGUCUUAAGUGUUUAUAGCCUCUUGCCUAUGCAGUCGGAGAGAUUGAGGUCUGCAGCGUAGAUCCUUCGGGGCUAAAUGCAUUUGUGCUAAGUUAUAACAUUUCAUAGACAACUUGUUGACUAUGAUUUGUCUUGUAGCUUACUCGCUUAUGUUAUUUUACCUACGCUUAGGAUGUUGACAGCAGUAUAGACUGU